RNAcentral lists this ribosomal RNA (435 nucleotides) under uncultured soil bacterium. Its description in RNAcentral is "bacterial SSU rRNA". It matches the Rfam family "Bacterial small subunit ribosomal RNA", at positions 27 to 477 of the family's 1533-position model. The record is from RNAcentral.
GGGACGAACGCUGGCGGCGUGCUUAACACAUGCAAGUGGAGCGACGAACCAGGGCUUGCCCUGGGGCAGAGCCGCGAACGGGUGAGUAACACGUGGGUUACCUGCCCCGAUGACCGGGACAACCCGAGGAAACUCGGGCUAAUACCGGAUGUGGUCUUCGGACGAAAGGAAGCUUCGGCCUCCGCAUCGGGAUGGGCCCGCGGCGCAUUAGCUUGUUGGUGGGGUAACGCCCACCAAGGCUACGAUGCGUAGCUGGUCUGAGAGGACGAUCAGCCACACUGGGACUGAGACACGGCCCAGACUCCUACGGGAGCAGCAGUGGGGAAUCUUGCGCAAUGCGCGAAAGCGUGACGCAGCAACGCCGCGGUGGGGGAAGAGGCCUUGGUUAGUAAACCUUCUUUCGAGGUUAGGGACGAAGCGUUCCGUCGUUAAGUA